This 4377-nucleotide long non-coding RNA is filed under the name Cebus imitator (Panamanian white-faced capuchin). RNAcentral's name for it is "lncRNA (ENSCCAG00000038219.1)". The record is from RNAcentral. Lineage: Eukaryota; Metazoa; Chordata; Mammalia; Primates; Cebidae.
UUGUGGUUUCCUGAUAAAUUAAGAUGACAUAGGCAGUAGCACAGGGUUUGCUUCAUUACAUUAUUGUGAAAUUUGGACUCAAAUAGAAUGAGGCAAACCCACAAGUUAAAGUGUUUUUAAAGUGGCUCAAUAAUCACUUUGAAAACAGAACACCCUUUCAGUCAGCAUGACGGGAACUUUGAUCAACAAAUACCCAUGAACCACAACCCAUCUUUUGUGAACCAGUAGUACAAGCUCAUCCUACAAGUGUCAUUUGGGCCAGACCAAGGCUGCUCUCACGGAGAACCCAGACCACAGCUUGGAAACCAUUCAUCUACAUUUGAAGUCACAUGACUUCAAAUGACUCCUCUAGGGACCGCCUGCCGUGCUGGGGUGUCAGCUCUUCCUCUGAAUUCCCAAUCCACUUCUUGAUAACUACUGUUUCUAAUAAGAGGGGAAGAAGGUCAUGUGGGAAUCAGUUAAGUCAUUUGUGGGUAGAAGACAAGCACCAGCUUUGCAGGAAACCCUCCAGCCUCCUCCAGGUACACCCUGACGAUCUCAGAACUGAUCAGGUAAAGCCAGCUCUGAGAUAGACCCUUCUGUGGCCUGUCGGGAGAGCAGAGCAAGAAGAGCAGAAUCCAGGCAAACCUGUUAUCUGGACUGGCAGGAAUGGGAAGAAGCAUUUCCAGAUCCCAGCUGAACAACCAAACCAUCACCUAUGUUCAAAGGGCUUCCUAUUGAAUGCAUUUGAAAAUGAUUUGCAAACUUUAAACAAUGUCUUUAGUUUAAAAGCACUAAAUAUUUUUUAAAAAGUCAGUAGAUUCUCCUUUAGCACCUCCUCACCCUCACCAUUCUUUUCUUUCUCAGCACAAUGGCAUUACUGUUCUAAGCACUCAAUAGUAUUCAAUAUCUUAGUAUUCAAUAUCAAUAGUAUUCAAUAUCAAUUCACACUUUUAAGAAAAUCUUAGACAAAAGAAAAAAGUUUAUUUGUAAGGUGAGUUAACCUUUGUUUUUAAAAAAUGGGUUGGGUCAUAUAUAAACCUUACAAAAGGUUAAUGCAUAGCACACAAAUAUAGUUCAAUUUCCUUUUUAUGUGAUUAAAGAAACUUAUCUACAGAGUUGUCUAUGACAUCUACAAAGGAGGUGAUGAUAAGGAUAAUACAGCUCAUGCUGUUCAAUGGUUCCUUAAAUUAAAGAACAUGGGAUACAUUAGUGUGAUUUCUUUUUCCUCUUUCAAGUUCUGUAUUUACCACUCCAUGCCCUCCAGGUUAGCUGACUUUAGAGCUCUGGAAUAAGGACUAGUUGAAUUUGCUGCAAUAUUUUAAUAUGCCUAGCACAGGGGCCAAAGGAAAACUUCCCUUCCAUUCUCUAAAGGUUCACUGAAAAUCAGCUGGCAAUAGGCAGAUUAGUAGGGAAAAUGGCAUACCAAUUACUAGUAUCCACGAGAGGGAAUCACAGAGUGAUUGCCUCAUACCCCGUGGGGUAGAGAUGUUUAUAUACCCUGCAUCUUGAGGGAAGGGGAAAUGGAGACAUUUAGGUGAUUUUAUAUGGGGCAGGAAACAAUUUUUAGGGGAAUUCACUAGGUGUGAAGAACAUACAAUAGCCUGGGACAAAGUCUGUUGGGCCUGCAGAGUGGACAAUGGUUUGUGACAGAGCCUGUCCAGGAGUGUUGACAGAUUUCAGUCUUCCUUCCUGUGAUAGGAGAUGAGUUAAUGGAAACUCAGGGAAGAAACUAAGGUAAUUGUUUUUUUUUUUUUUUUUUUUUUUUUUUUCUUUGGUGGGUCCAGACCUUUGGCAGAUAAGGAAACUUCAGAGAACAAAUUUAUCCUGUGCUUUCGGAGACAGGAAGGCGAGGAGGUCAGGGAGACCUUGAGGCUGCCUCUGUUCAGCAUAUCAAAGUGCUAUAUUUAAGAGUAUCACUUUCUAAGCCCAAUACUAGAAACAUGAACAUGUUAACAAUUAAUUUAAAGGGGAGAGAGAGAGAUGAACUGAGUGAAGUGCAUUGUAAUCCUUCUUAAGGUUAAACUCAUGAUAAUCGGUUCUCAGGCGAUUCUGCUCACCCUCCAAGUGUCAGGGAGACGUCUUUACUGCUCUUCCUGAGAGAACUUAGAGAUACUGUGGCAGGGCAGGAAGCUAGAAGCAGAUAGCAAUGUGGACAAUCUGACUUUGUUGGGAAAUGACUAACCUGAAUACAAUGGAGUUCAACAUCUGCAGAUAGUUUCUGGUUGUUGGCUUUUAUCGGUUUUUAUAUCCAUGUGGAGUGGUGGGGCUGUGAUUUAGAAACCUGAUGGACUGCAAAUUAUAUUUUUCACCUUUUAGUUUAAGGAUUGAAUAUGACACCAUUGGGUGGAAGAGCACAUCAGUUGGAUUUAACUUUUUUUUUUUUUAAUGUGACUGAGAGAAAGUGCAUCAGCUGUAUUUUGUAUUUAUUCAGGCUUCAUAGUGCUGAUUCAGGAACAAGUAUCUUUGUUUUAUGUCAAAUUCUGGGUCUUUUUCAGCAGAAAUGAAUCAAAGAGAAUCAGAGAAAGUGAGUUCACUUUUUUAAAGGAAACAGGAGAAUCUGGUGUCAGAGCUCUUAGUACAGUUUCAUGUUGAUGAGAGCUGUAGCUGCUUCCUAGAAUUCUCAGGGGUUAAUUACAACCAGAUUUGUUUUUGUGGCAUUCACAUCCCAUCCAUUUGUCCAAUGCUCAUCCACUCUUCCAACUUCUCCAUCUCCAUGGACAUCAUUUCUUUUUCCCAACGAUAGCCACACAGGAAUACAAUAGACUCAACUUAGAAACAUCAAAACAGUCAAAGCAGUCUUUCUGAAAACAAGGCCCUACAUCCCUUUGCUUUCCCUGAAAACUCCCUGAAUGAUGUUUUUCCUAGGUUGAGCUCUUCAGGAUCCAUAUUCUUAGACACUGAGCCAAAAAUAAUGGGCUUGCCUUUCCCUAUGUGGGACCUUGCCCUAUGACCUAAGCUGCCCACACAACCACUGAGCAAUAAUCCUGUUGGCCUCUUAGAGGGAAAUGAUGAAAACAAGAAAUCGUCCCUCCAACUUGAGGGUUUCUUUUUCCCAUAAGUCUUAAAGUUAAUGAGAGCAGUAGGAAUGCCUCGUGGCUUUAGUGUAAAUAUAAAAACUAUUAAUUGUAACAAUAGAGAAGAAUUCAUAAUUCAUAAUCAUUUCCAUCUUUCAUGUCGACUAUUUCAGGGUUUGGAAAAAAAUUUGCAUUGAUUAUUUUCCCUGUAGACUAAAUUAUCCACCAGUAUUAUAUAUCACUUAAUUAACAGUAGUCAGAAUUGUAUGUUCAGCAUAAACACCAAAGUAUAUAAAUGUGAAUAUUUCUACAAAUACAGUGGUUAAAAAGGUAAUUUUGUUCACAUGAAUCAAUGAGUUUCAGAAGUAAAGGUGGCAAUUCAAACAAACUCUGCUAAAACCCUCCCCUUUGUGCCUCUUCAACAAUCAAGAAUCAAGGCUAUAAUUCUUAAUACCUGCAUGUUCUUUGGGAAGUUACUUAACUUUUAUUUCUUCGGUUUUCUCAUCUGUGAAAUGGAGCUACUGGUUUCUACUGCAUAGAGGUAUUAUGAGAAGUACAAGUAUUAGAACAAUGCCUACAGUAUGGCAAGAGUUCAAUGCUAGCUAUCAUGUUUAUUUAAACUUCCUAAUUCACAUUGUAACUUCUGUGCCUAAAAUGAAGAUCCAGGAAUAAAGAAAUCUCUGAAACAAUUUCUUUACUUCAGCACCAUUGGCAUUUGGGGCUGAAUAACUUUUGCUACGGGGGCACCUUUUUGUGCAUUGCAGAUGUUUAGCAGCCUCUGCUCAGCAGGUGCCAGGAGCAUCUCCCCAUUUCCGUCAUGACAACCCUAUAUGUCUUCAGACAUAGCCAAAUGUCCUCUGGGAGAAUGAGGGAAGGGACAGAGGCAAAACUGCCCCUGACAAGGAGUCUAGAAUAUUCAAAAAUUUAAAACAUAUGUCUAAAGCAGAUUUGCUUGAUCAAUGGCAUUGCCCAAACAUUGCCUAGAGAGAUUCAGCAUCUAUUUCUUUUUUUAAAAAAAAAUAAUUUCUGAUAGGAUAAUUUAGUUACAAUUUCGGGGGAAAAGGUGUAAUAGGAAAACAAAAGGGAAAGAAGGGAGAGAGAAAGGAAGAGAAAACAAAAGGGAAGGAAGAAAAGGAGAAGGAAAAAGGAAGGAAGAAAAAAGAAAGACACUUAAUUAUACAAGAAGAAUUCUCCAACACUUAACUAGAGACCAGGUCCUCUCUUCCUGCAGGCUACAACAAUUUCCAGGGUUUUUUUUUUUUUUUUUAGCUAAUGCAUAGUAACUGAAAUCUUUCUCUACAAUGCAUUUGCCUUAAAAGAUUAAGGAAAAUCCCAUUAGAUGGUUGGUGGCCUGUGUUUUGUUAUGUAGGACACGUGGGCU